RNAcentral lists this ribosomal RNA (424 nucleotides) under Verrucomicrobiota bacterium. RNAcentral's name for it is "Verrucomicrobia bacterium partial 16S ribosomal RNA". It matches the Rfam family "Bacterial small subunit ribosomal RNA", at positions 355 to 776 of the family's 1533-position model. The record is from RNAcentral. Lineage: Bacteria; Pseudomonadati; Verrucomicrobiota.
UGAGGUAUUUUGGUCAAUGGACGCCAGUCUGAACCAGCCAAGUAGCGUGCAGGAUGACGGCCCUAUGGGUUGUAAACUGCUUUUAUAUGGGGAUAAAGUGGGGAACGUGUUCCCUUUUGCAGGUACCAUCUGAAUAAGGACCGGCUAAUUCCGUGCCAGCAGCCGCGGUUAUACGGAAGGUUCGGGCGUUAUCCGGAUUUAUUGGGUUUAAAGGGAGCGUAGGCCGUUUGGUAAGCGUGUUGUGAAAUGUAGGAGCUCAACUUCUAGAUUGCAGCGCGAACUGUCAGACUUGAGUGCGCACAACGUAGGCGGAAUUCAUGGUGUAGCGGUGAAAUGCUUAGAUAUCAUGAAGAACUCCGAUUGCGAAGGCAGCUUACGGGGGCGCAACUGACGCUGAAGCUCGAAGGUGCGGGUAUCGAACAGG